GGUUGUGGCUCAGUGGUAGAGCACUUGCCUAGCAUGUGUGAGGCCCCUGGGUUUGAUUCUCGGCACCA
Molecule: transfer RNA, 68 nt
Filed under: Marmota monax (woodchuck)
Lineage: Eukaryota; Metazoa; Chordata; Mammalia; Rodentia; Sciuridae
Description: tRNA.Ala
Source: RNAcentral